This 565-nucleotide ribosomal RNA is filed under the name Candidatus Neomicrothrix parvicella. RNAcentral describes it as "bacterial SSU rRNA". It matches the Rfam family "Bacterial small subunit ribosomal RNA", at positions 337 to 916 of the family's 1533-position model. Lineage: Bacteria; Bacillati; Actinomycetota; Acidimicrobiia; Acidimicrobiales; Microthrixaceae. The record is from RNAcentral.
UCCUACGGGAGGCAGCAGUAGGGAAUCUUGCGCAAUGGGCGAAAGCCUGACGCAGCAAUGCCGCGUGCGGGACGAAGGCCCUAGGGUCGUAAACCGCUUUCAGUAGGGACGAAAAUGACGGUACCUGCAGAAGAAGCUCCGGCCAACUACGAGCCAGCAGCCGCGGUGAUACGUAGGGAGCAAGCGUUGUCCGGGAUUACUGGGCGUAAAGGGCUCGUAGGUGGUUGAGUAAGUCAGAUGUGAAAUCUCAGGGCCCAACCCUGAGCCUGCAUUUGAUACUGCUCUGACUAGACUCCGGUAGGGGAGUGCGGAACUCCUGGUGUAGCGGUGAAAUGCGCAGAUAUCAGGAAGAACACCGACAGCGAAGGCAGCACUCUGGGCCGGUACUGACACUGAGGAGCGAAAGCAUGGGUAGCAAACAGGAUUAGAUACCCUGGUAGUCCAUGCCGUAAACGUUGGGCACUAGGUGUGGGGAGAACUCAACUCUCUCCGCGCCGUAGCUAACGCAUUAAGUGCCCCGCCUGGGGAGUACGGCCGCAAGGCUAAAACUCAAAGGAAUUGACGG